This 258-nucleotide long non-coding RNA is filed under the name Brassica napus (rape). RNAcentral describes it as "long non-coding RNA (BNAP_LNC007593)". Lineage: Eukaryota; Viridiplantae; Streptophyta; Magnoliopsida; Brassicales; Brassicaceae. The record is from RNAcentral.
GCCCUGUUCGUUUGCUCACCCAGGUGAUCCAUCUGGGUGAAGAUGCAAAUUGAUGUUCGUUUUGUGCAUUAUAAUGCUACAUCCAGAUGGAUCACCCAGCUGAAUUUUUCAAAACUCAUCUCAAAUUCUCACCCAAAUGAAGGUGAGUCUUGAUGGUGCAUCUGGAUGCAGAUGCAUCUAGUUCAGUCCAAAAUGAUAAAUGACAAAAAUGACCUUUUAAAAUCAAAAUAUUAUUUUCAAAUCGUAAAUUCUAUUUUU